Molecule: non-coding RNA, 148 nt
Filed under: Gorilla gorilla gorilla (western lowland gorilla)
Lineage: Eukaryota; Metazoa; Chordata; Mammalia; Primates; Hominidae
Source: Rfam by way of RNAcentral
GCUGAGUGUGGUGGCGCACACCUGUAAUCCCAGCUACCAGGGAGGCUGAGGCAGGAGAAUUGCUUGAACCCAGGAGGUGGAGGUUGCAGUGAGCCAAGAUUGCGCCACUGCACUCCAGCCUGGGCUACAGAGUGAGACUCUGUCUCAA